GAACGCUGGCGGCAGGCUUAACACAUGCAAGUCGAGCGGAGAUGAGGUGCUUGCACCUUAUCUUAGCGGCGGACGGGUGAGUAAUGCUUAGGAAUCUGCCUAUUAGUGGGGGACAACAUUUCGAAAGGAAUGCUAAUACCGCAUACGCCCUACGGGGGAAAGCAGGGGACCUUCGGGCCUUGCGCGAUUGGAUAUGCCCAGGUGGGAUUAGCUUGUUGGUGAGGUAAUGGCUCACCAAGGCGACGAUCCCUAGCUGGUCUGAGAGGAUGAUCAGCCACACUGGAACUGAGACACGGUCCAGACUCCUACGGGAGGCAGCAGUGGGGAAUUUUGGACAAUGGGGGCAACCCUGAUCCAGCCAUGCCGCGUGAGUGAAGAAGGCCUUCGGGUUGUAAAGCUCUUUCGGCCGGGAGGAAAUCGCAUCAGUUAAUACCUGGUGUGGAUGACAGUACCGGAAUAAGAAGCACCGGCUAACUACGUG
This 481-nucleotide ribosomal RNA is filed under the name uncultured bacterium. RNAcentral's name for it is "bacterial SSU rRNA". It matches the Rfam family "Bacterial small subunit ribosomal RNA", at positions 31 to 507 of the family's 1533-position model. The record is from RNAcentral.